Long non-coding RNA from Helianthus annuus (common sunflower), 647 nucleotides. RefSeq lists it as uncharacterized. NCBI's taxonomy places the organism in Eukaryota, Viridiplantae, Streptophyta, Magnoliopsida, Asterales, Asteraceae. The transcript has 4 exons. The record is from RefSeq and is a predicted model, not a curated record.
UGAGGGACUAAAGUUGUGUAAGUGAAAACUAGUAAUAAUAAAACAAAAAAAAAAAUUAAAACACAACACUUGUUUGUGUUCUUGGGUUCGAUCAGAAGGCAGGGGGCGACUUCAUGCUCCCCAAAACCCUAGUUCACAUCAAAAACCACCAAUUGAAGGAUCAAAUCGAGUCCAAAACGAAAAUCGAGCAUAUAUUCGUGAUCCCCAUUGAAAGGAGAUCAUAAGUUUGUCGCCUAACGAGCUAGGUGGAGGCUUGGAAAAGAAGCGGUCAAACGAAUCAAGCACGAGAAGAAAACGUAUUCGGAUGCGAGGUGAAGAUGGGAUAAGCGGUUUGAAAGAUACGAAAGUUUUCGUGCAAAUAAACGGCAAAAUAGGAAAGCUGGAAUGCAGGGGCCACCGUAACUUACGGUGCCACCGUAAGUUACGGUGGAGCUGAAGGCUUUACGGCAGCCCCCUACUGAUUUACAGUGUAUGCUGAGAGCCCGGAUGAAGAUCAAGCGUCAAGCUCAAUGAGGAACCGAACACAUGUUUAAUAAAGCUUCCGCAACGUUGUUGUGUCGUUAUUCUAAACGGCGAAUUAAAUCACAUUAUGUAUAUCGCUCAAAUUAUAAAAGUUUUUAACAAGCCUGUAUUUUCAUUAUAAUUGU